GCAGACACAUUCCAGCCAAUCAGCAGCAGACCCUCCCUCCCAGACCCUUCCACCUCCUGGACAGCUCACUAAGAAUGCAGCUUCACAAUGAAUGUAAAAUGGAUGCUGUCCAGGAGGUGGGAGGGUCUAGGAGGGAGGGUCUGCUGCUGAUUGGCUGGAAUGUGUCUG
Molecule: non-coding RNA, 168 nt
Organism: Pelobates cultripes (western spadefoot toad)
Lineage: Eukaryota; Metazoa; Chordata; Amphibia; Anura; Pelobatidae
Source: the annotation of a GenBank genome assembly